Molecule: long non-coding RNA, 2333 nt
Filed under: Olea europaea subsp. europaea
Lineage: Eukaryota; Viridiplantae; Streptophyta; Magnoliopsida; Lamiales; Oleaceae
Source: RNAcentral
CCUUAUUGUCGAAAACAAAGGUGACACUCUAUCUCUAUCUCACAGUGUCAGUAUCGGUGUUUGUGCACGCCUUAGUGUCUCUGUUGCAUGGUGUUCUAGGCUGUCUCUUAUCCCAUUGGGAUCCUUUUAACAGCCAUUUGCACGCACAUUUUAUUUAGCUCACUGCUUAAAGCAUUCUUCUGUAUAAUUUGUUUUAUGAAACAUAAUUGCUAAAAUUAACUGUGAUUUGAAUGCUUAAAAUUUCUAGUCUCCGUUGUCUCAGAAACUUGCAAUGGAGCAUGCCAUUGCAUUAUCUGUCUGUACUUUCUCUCCCACUAACUUAGUUUUCAAUUUUUUCCAGGAACAACAAUGAUAUUAAGGGGGCUCCUGCUGUUGCUGGUUCUCAAGGCUUUGAGUGCAUAUGCGGUAGCAGAAAGAGAAACAUAUGUGGUCCACAUGGACAAGACGAAGAUCAAAGCUUUAGAUGCCUCUCUUGGCACUUCCAAAAGAUGGUACGAAGCUAUCAUCGAAUCUCUCACUGAAUCAUCGGCUCACAACAAAGUAGAGCAAGGCCCACAAACAUUGUCUCCUGAACUACUUUACGUAUAUGAAACUGUCAUUUCUGGUUUUGCUGCAAAGCUCUCAAAGCAACAACUCGAAUCCUUGAGGAAAACGGAUGGCUUUCUCUCUGCCACCUUGGAUGAAAUGCUAGAGCUUCAUACAACACAUUCGCCUCAGUUUCUUGGCCUUAAACAAGGUAGUGGCCUGUGGAAUGCUCAAAAUUUAGCUUCUGAUAUAAUAAUUGGCAUUGUUGACACGGGAAUAUGGCCCGAACACAUUAGUUUUCGUAGCUCGGGCAUAUCUCCUGUUCCCCCUCGUUGGAAAGGAAAAUGUCAGGCAGGCACAAAAUUUAGAGCUUCAAACUGUAACAGAAAGCUUAUAGGUGCAAGAGCAUUUUUCAAAGGAUACGAGGCCAUUGCUGGAACAAUUAAUGAAACAUUAGAUUACAGAUCGCCUCGGGACUCAGAAGGGCAUGGAACACAUACUUCUUCGACUGCAGGAGGUAAUCUUGUCAAGGGUGCAAACAUUUUUGGGUUGGCCAAAGGCUCAGCUGCUGGCAUGAGGUAUACAACAAGAAUUGCAGCUUAUAAAGCUUGCUAUCUAUUAGGAUGCGCCAGCUCGGAUUUAUUAGCUUCUAUCGAACAAGCAGUCGAGGAUGGGGUGGACGUUCUGUCACUUUCUCUGGGAGGCGCUUCGAAACCAUAUUACAAUGAUAAUAUAGCCAUUGCUUCAUUUGGUGCCAUGCAAAAUGGAGUUUUUGUUUCAUGCUCAGCAGGCAAUUCAGGGCCUUCUGAUUCCACCGUUGCCAAUGUGGCGCCAUGGAUUAUGACGGUUGCUGCUAGUUAUCUUGACCGCAGUUUUCCAACUCGAGUUAAACUUGGCAAUGGACAAAGUUUCACAGGGGCCUCAUUGUAUUCUGGCAAGGCUACCAAGCAAUUGCCUUUAGUGUAUGGAGAAACCGCCGGUGGUGGAGUAGCCAAGUUUUGCAUCAGCGGCUCACUCUCUCCAAGAUUUGUUCACGGUAAAAUCGUUAUUUGUGAUCAAGGAAUCAAUGACAGAUUCCAAAAGGGAGAGAUAGUGAAAAUGGCAGGUGGAGCUGGCAUGAUAUUAGCAAACUCUGACCAUCAAGGAGAUGAACUUUUUGCUGAUCCACACGUCUUGCCAGCCACAUCUCUUGGUGCUUUAGCAGCCAAUGCCAGCAAAAACUACGCUAGCUUAAGAAACAAUGCGACAGCUUCAAUCGAGUUUUUAGGGACAGCAUAUGGAAAUCCUGCGCCGGUUAUGGCUGCAUUUUCCUCCCGGGGUCCAAGUGUAGUUGAACCUAGCAUAAUCAAGCCAGACGUAACUGCACCAGGUGUGAACAUUUUAGCUGCAUGGCCACCAAAUAUUAGUCCAACACAACUCAAAAGUGACAAAAGAAGAGUCCAAUUUAACAUAAUNGUGGACAGGGAUGCUGAAUUCGCAUAUGGCUCUGGCCAACUGAACCCAACUAAAGCAGUUAGUCCCGGACUAGUCUAUGACAUGGAUGAUAUGUCAUAUAUUCAGUUCCUAUGCCACGAAGGUUAUAACGAAUCAUCUAUAGGGAGUUUAAUUGCUCAUGUAUCAGUGAAUUGUUCCAAGUUGCUUCCUGCGAAUGGUGAAGAUGCUAUAAACUACCCUACAAUGCAACUUAUGCUGAGGAGUGAUCAAGAGCCAACUGUAGGUGUUUUUAGAAGGAGGGUCACCAAUGUGGGCCCUUCCGACUCCGUCUACAAUGCCACCAUUAAGGCUCCAAAGGGAGUGAAGAUUACGGU